GUGUGUGUGUCGUCAGUGUGUGUGCGUGUAUGAACUAGAAUACUGACAUACCUUUCAUCUCUUCAGAAUGACUAAUUAUGCGUUUGUGUGUGUUUUUGUGUUUGUGUGAGUGGUUCGUUUACGAGUGUGGCUGCACUCGUAUCUAUAACGAUAGUGUGUAAGGAUGUGUCUUUCUGUUUGCGCCUGUCUCUUUGUGCAUGGCUGAUUGCUUUGUCCAUCUGACUACAAUUGAAAGGGGAUCUCUAUCUAUCUCCAUGUCGGUGUGUCUCUAUCUCAGCCGCUCCACCUUAAGGGGAGCUUUAGCAGGCUGUCUUGUUUAUGUUGAAGCCAACAGGCACAAUAUAUUACAGUCCAGGGCUCCCGGCUGAAAAUCCUACUGGAUCUUCUAGUGACCUGCUGUUCUUUCCUGUUUAAUUUUUUUUUUUACAUUUAGAUUAAAAGCAAAGCUCGCUCUCUGUCAUAGUUUUUCUCCCUCUUUUUUAAAUGUUGUAUUCCAACAGACAACACAACCCUUCAGUUUAAGGUUCUGUUCUCUCCUAUGAGAAGAAGAGGGACUGGAGGUACUGUAGAUUGUAGGUGAAUUUGAAUGGAGGAGUGUAGUGUUUGUAUCUUGUUGGAGGGGUUGGUGAAGGGACAGGAAAGGGGGGGUACUUGGGUGUAACGCUCAAGCUUCACUGCCAUGUCAGUGCGUGUGGACUCCAACUGAUCACAGAGCGAGAGAGACGGAGAGAGGAAGAGAGAAACCAGAGUGAGACUUUGGUUACACCGAGGAAACGGGAAGAAGGAAAAGGAGCCAAAGUGUUAGUGUGGGGAUUUGUUUUACCGUGAGACCUGUUUGACGGAUGCACUGACAGAGCUCUCCCAGCUGUGUCGACAGGCUCCGUGUCGGACAGGGACAGACAGAGCAGAGCUGAACGGAAAGAAGAGAAGAGAGCAGGACUGGGCAGGAGGGAGGACUGCUCUCUCCAACCUUGCCUGAGACCAGACCAAAGCAGUGGGAAAGAUCUGGACUGGGCUGUGUUCCUGGUGGUGGGCAGAGGAGUGGAGGGCCAGGGGACAGGCUCUGACCUGAUAAUCAAACAGACUGAACAUCUCUCCUGGGACCAUGUACCCUCAGGGCAGGCAUCCGGUCCCUAUUCAGCCUGGCCAGUCUUUCAAGUUCACAGUCCUGGAGACCCUGGACCGCAUCAAGGAGGAGUUCCAGUUCCUCCAGGCUCAGUACCACAGCCUGAAACUGGAGUGUGAGAAGCUGGCCAGUGAGAAGACAGAGAUGCAGAGACACUACAUCAUGG
Molecule: long non-coding RNA, 1292 nt
Organism: Salvelinus sp. IW2-2015
Lineage: Eukaryota; Metazoa; Chordata; Actinopteri; Salmoniformes; Salmonidae
Source: RefSeq, a predicted model, not a curated record